RNAcentral lists this ribosomal RNA (955 nucleotides) under uncultured bacterium. Its description in RNAcentral is "bacterial SSU rRNA". It matches the Rfam family "Bacterial small subunit ribosomal RNA", at positions 9 to 953 of the family's 1533-position model. The record is from RNAcentral.
GAGUUUGAUCAUGGCUCAGAACGAACGUUAGCGGUGUGGAUAAGGCAUGCAAGUCGUGCGCGAAAACCUUCGGGUGAGUAAAGCGGCGAACGGGUGAGUAACACGUAAUCAACCUACCCCUCAGACCGGGAUAACUGUUGGAAACGGCAGGUAAUACCGGAUGGUCUCUGACGAUGGCAUCAUCGACAGAGUAAACGGCGGCUUCGGCUGUUGUUGAGGGAGGGGAUUGCGGACUAUUAGCUUGUUGGUGGGGUAAUGGCCUACCAAGGCGAUGAUGGUUAGCCGGUCUGAGAGGACGACCGGUCACACUGGGACUGAGACACUGCCCAGACUCCUACGGGAGGCUGCAGUCGAGAAUCUUCCGCAAUGGGCGCAAGCCUGACGGAGCGACACCGCGUGCAGGAUGAAGGCCUUCGGGUUGUAAACUGCUGUCACGCUAUAGGAACCACGUAGUAUUAAUAGUGCUGCGUCUGACUAAAGCGAGAGGAAGUACCGGCUAACUCCGUGCCAGCAGCCGCGGUAAUACGGAGGGUACAAACGUUGUUCGGAAUCACUGGGCAUAAAGCGCGCGUAGGCGGUCUACCCAGUUAGGUGUGAAAGCCCUCGGCUCAACCGAGGAAUUGCAUCUAAUACUAGUAGGCUUGAGGAUGGUAGGGGUGUGUGGAACUUCAGGUGGAGCGGUGAAAUGCGUAGAUAUCUGAAGGAACACCUGUGGCGAAAGCGGCACACUGGAUCAUUUCUGACGCUGAGGCGCGAAAGCUAGGGUAGCGAACGGGAUUAGAUACCCCGGUAGUCCUAGCCGUAAACGAUGGGCACUAGGUAAAGGGAGAACCUGUUCUCUCUUUGCCGUAGCUAAUGUGUUAAGUGCCCCGCCUGGGGAGUACGCUCGCAAGGGUAAAACUCAAAGGAAUUGACGGGGCUCACACAAGCGGUGGGAGCAUGUGGGUUUAAUUCG